GGGGAAUAUUGGACAAUGGGCGAAAGCCUGAUCCAGCCAUGCCGCGUGUGUGAAGAAGGUCUUCGGAUUGUAAAGCACUUUAAGUUGGGAGGAAGGGCAGUAAGUUAAUACCUUGCUGUUUUGACGUUACCAACAGAAUAAGCACCGGCUAACUUCGUGCCAGCAGCCGCGGUAAUACGAAGGGUGCAAGCGUUAAUCGGAAUUACUGGGCGUAAAGCGCGCGUAGGUGGUUUGGUAAGAUGGAUGUGAAAUCCCCGGGCUCAACCUGGGAACUGCAUCCAUAACUGCCUGGCUAGCGUACGGUAGAGGGUGGUGGAAUUUCCUGUGUAGCGGUGAAAUGCGUAGAUAUAGGAAGGAACACCAGUGGCGAAGGCGACCACCUGGACUGAUACUGACACUGAGGUGCGAAAGCGUGGGGAGCAAACA
This 426-nucleotide ribosomal RNA is filed under the name uncultured bacterium. Its description in RNAcentral is "bacterial SSU rRNA". It matches the Rfam family "Bacterial small subunit ribosomal RNA", at positions 356 to 774 of the family's 1533-position model. The record is from RNAcentral.